This 492-nucleotide ribosomal RNA is filed under the name uncultured bacterium. Its description in RNAcentral is "bacterial SSU rRNA". It matches the Rfam family "Bacterial small subunit ribosomal RNA", at positions 31 to 518 of the family's 1533-position model. The record is from RNAcentral.
GAACGCUAGCGACAGGCCUAACACAUGCAAGUCAGGGGCAGCACAAGGAGCAAUCUGAGGUGGCGACCGGCGCACGGGUGAGUAACACGUAUGCAACCUGCCUGUAAGCGGGGAAUAACCCGUUGAAAGACGGACUAAUACCGCAUAAUACUAAAUUACUGCAUGGUAAUUUAUUUAAACAUUUAUGGCUUACAGAUGGGCAUGCGCAUGAUUAGCUAGUUGGAGAGGUAACGGCUCCCCAAGGCAACGAUCAUUAGGGGUUCUGAGAGGAAGGUCCCCCACACUGGUACUGAGACACGGACCAGACUCCUACGGGAGGCAGCAGUGAGGAAUAUUGGUCAAUGGACGAGAGUCUGAACCAGCCAAGUCGCGUGCAAGAAGAAUGUCCCUAUGGAUUGUAAACUGCUUUUGCAGGGGAAUAAAGUGCAUCACGUGUGAUGUUUUGCAUGUACUCUGCGAAUAAGGAUCGGCUAACUCCGUGCCAGCCGCGGC